GGGCCUCUCCAGACAGGAACUGGAGUUGGAGGCUUCCUCUGCUACUUGCUCAGAGAGAAGAACCUUAGGAAUGCCAUUCAGUGCCUCGGUUUCUGAGCUGUCUCACUUGGGGAAAUCCAACCAUCAUAGCUCAUGGCCACCACUGCAGGAAUCCGGAUGCAGGCCAAGUACAGCAGCACGAGGGACAUGCUGGACGCUGAUGGGGACACCACGAUGAGCCUGCAUUCUCGAGCCUCUACUGCAACCCAGCGGCCAGAGCCUGGCCACACAGAGCACCGGCGUCCCUCUUCAGCUUGGCGUCCAGUGGCCCUGAUCCUGCUGACUCUGUGUUUGGUGCUGCUCAUUAGCCUGGCAGCUCUGGGGCUUGUGUUUUUUCAGUUCUACCAGCUCUCCAACACUCAGCAAGAAAACAUUUCUCAAAAGGAAGAAAGGCUGGGGAAUCUCUCCCGACAGCUGCAAUCUCUCCAAACUCAGAAAAGGAAGCUUGCAGAAACUUUGCAUCACGUGGCUGAAAAACUCUGUCGUGAGCUCUAUAACAAAACUGGAGAACACAGAUGCAGCCCUUGCCCAGAAAAAUGGAAGUGGCAUGGGGACAAAUGCUACCAAUUCUAUAAAGAAAGCAAGAGUUGGCAGGGUUGUGAAUAUUUCUGCAUUGCUGAGAACUCGACCAUGCUGAAGAUAAAUACACAGGAAGUACUGGAGUUUGCCAUGCCUCAGAGCUACUCUGAGUUUUUCUACUCUUAUUGGACAGGGCUAUCCCGCAACGGCAAUGGCAAGGCCUGGCUGUGGAUGGACGGAGCCCCUUACUCCCAUGAACUGUUUGAGAUUGUAGUAGAUUUCACCAGCCUAAGAAGUAGGGACUGUGUGACCAUCCUCAAUGGAAAGGCUUUCUCCAAGGACUGCAAGGAGUUGAGGCGAUGCGCGUGUGAAAGAGCUGCGGCCACAGUGAAACUGCAGAGGCUCCUUGAGCCUCUCUGAGCCGGACACGGAGGCCAAUGGUUCUCCAACUACAGCUGCAACUGCAGCCUCCCUUCAGAGAAGUGGAAGAUUCUGCUCUGCAGAACAAAAGUCAAGCUCUUUAUGUGCGCCUGGCCUAGUGUGGUUUCUGUUCCUUUUCCUUCCAUUUCAUCCCUGUUUAUACCUUCCAGGUAUUACCGUAAUGGAGCAAUCACUUCAAGCAAAAUUUCUUUCAGGUAGAAGAUCUUAAUGCGUAUUUCUCACAGAUGAAAUAUUUCCAAAUGCUGCAGUUAGCGGAAGAAAGGCCGUUGUUUCUGAGGUAUCCACAGACCUGGUUAGUUGAUUGGGGGUCCCUGUAUUAGUGACCUGGAGAGGCAAGUCAGUGUAUCUGAGGUUAGGUGUUGGGCUUAUGGGAAUGUCCUCUGGGCAAUAAAAUGAGAGAUGCACAGCUUUUCCUUUUGUUUUAAUCUGUUACCCUCUUGAGGUAGUUUUGCCCUUCUUCUUCAAUAACAGAACUAUUUUCUCUCAAUAAAGUAUGUAAAUAUUACUUCAACAAGCAGCAUUUAAAAAAAAAAAAAAGCUUGGAUACAAAAGGAUAGGGUCUAAUUUGGAAUCUCUUUUCUGAUUCUUAAUUCUCAAAAUACAAAGGCUGCUGACCAGCCUCCCCAGUUCUUUCUGAAAGCUUACUAUGGAAAUUGCCUAAUAAUUACUAUAGUCUCUUGCCCUUAGCGCUCUAGCCUUUAAAUGAUACAAAGGAAAUGUACUUGAUAAUCACAUAAUAUUGUUCAUUCAGACUCUCAAAUUUUGAUGUGAAUGUGCUACAGUGUAAUGGCAGUGGGGCUGAGAUGGAGAAAAUUUAGAAGUCAUGUAGCCAUUCUUAAAUUAUCUUGGCUUUGAUUCCAAUCAGAAGCCUGUGAAAUUAUCAUGCUGGUUAUGUCUUCUGGAGGAAAUGUAAGGUAUAAAAUAAAAUGAACUUUUGAUUUCCCUCCUGUGUCUAAUUCUUCUGGGAAUGUUUCCCUCAGAGACUUACAGAUCAGGGGAAGGAGAGGAGCCGUCUUGCCAAAGCCAAGGUUGGCUGGACCCAUCCUGAGACAGUCCCACCCAGUAAUCAUAGCUUCUUUUGAUCUACCUCAGGCUGCCAGUGAUAAAGUCCUAUAAGAAACAAGACUUGAACAGUGAACCGAGGAUGGAGAGGCAGGGGGGUACUACCAGAAAAACCCCAAUAAAUUACCAUGAAAUAUAAAGUGUGGUAUUUUGUUUCCACAGAAGUAAUUAGAAUUUGAGAGCUGGAAAGAGAGAGAGAGAGAGAGGAUUUUUAAAAGAAAGGAUACCUUUUUCCCUAUUGCUAAAUGAUCAAUGUGGUGUUAAGGACUAUGGAAAAAUUAGGCAUCUGGUAUCAAAAUAGUUUUAACAGAUUCAGAAUUUGGCAUAUAGUAUAUGACUUUCCCAGGAUAUUUCAAUGUCAGAAAUAGUUUAGAAGAUUCCAGAAGCAACUUAACGGUAGGCAUAUUUUGUGAGAAGAAAUAUUUCUAACUUUUGUCACUAAAUUUGCACAGAAAAAAUAGUAUGAACCCAUAAUUGUAAUAAGUUAGUCCAAGUUGCCUUGGUUUAUUGUAUAGCCUUAACAAAUUGUUCUACUAUUACUCUUGCAAAAAUGAACUUUGACUCGUUACUAAAUAUAGUAGGCAUAUAUUUUUAAUAAAUUCAUAAAUGUGUAAAUAUGUCUUCUACUUCGCACAUAAUUUAUGGGUAGAAUGAUUUCAGGGAAACAUCCUACUGUUUGCUCGUUAAGAUGUUAGUAAACUAGAUUUAAGGUCAAUUAAACUUUUCAUUUAGCAGAUGCUUAUUUUCAUAAAUCUCUCCAUUUCAUGAUGUCAUCUCACUUUUUAUACUUCUACUUUUCUUGAUAAUUACAAAAUUGUUAUAGCUUAUUAUACUUCCCUACAGCAUUGAAAAUAAGACAUUUAAAACAUACAUACACUUAUAAUGUAUGCAUAUCUUGGAGUGGGUUACCAUGUUACAAAACGGUAUUUCUCUUACCCUUUCCCCUUUUUGAUUAACAAAGGACAUAGAACUAACAUAUUCUCCUUGAUUUUUGAAUAACCAUCUCGUUUUUUGUUUCUCCAGUUAAAAGGAAAACAAGCCAUGCUAAUUCUUACUUUGUGUGUUAAACCUUUUUUUCAACAAAUCUACCAUUGUUAUAGAGUAUCAAGGAAUUCUGUCUUAUGAGAACCAGUCUUUUCUUUUAAUGGGUAAUAUGGUAUUUUCAGAAUGAUGUGAAACCAUAAAACAGUGUUUACCAUUUCUUCUUUGCUGUCUUAUUUGUAGAAGCUUAGAUCCCUCCUUCAAACAAUCCUCUCUACUGGUGUGUCAAAUUGUCCAGUUUUCAAAGACAUGGUAAUACCUUUCUCCAUUCUGAAUCCAGUUGUCUGGACAAGGGCUGCAGUUAUGGGUUUCAAAUAUAAACAUUUUAUUAAAGUUAUUGUAAAAAUAUUAGUAGCAUAUCUUCUCAAAAGAACCCUUGUGUCACUCCCAGUAAAGCUGGACUCUUUAACCCAAUGGUUCAUAUGAUGCAGUACUUACCAACUUCAGCUGCUUUGAGGCUGAAUACAGUAAGAUUUAUACAAUUAUUUCCAAGUGCAGUAGGUCUCUAAGAAUUAGUUUAAGAUAAAAUUAAUUUGAGAAUAUCUAUUCCCAAAUUGUUCCUCCUCUAUAAUAAUUGAUCUGAUUAUUCUAUUUUUAGAAAUCUUUCCUUCUUUUAACUUUACAUCAUUUAUAAUCUUCAUUUGUUUGCUUAUUGUUUCAUGUCUUUUAAUCUUAUUGGCCCAAUUUAAUUGGGAAUGUACCGAGCAUAAUAAUAAGUACAUUCCCAAUUAAUUGAGUAGCAUAAUAAGCCUCAAGUUGAUGUUUAAAUUCUGAGAGUUAAACAUGAAAACUUUUCCGCAUAGAAUGGAGAGAACAAACAAUGCACCUUGAGGAAUGAUUUUAAAACUUGUGGGUGAGGAAAAGUAAACAAAAACACAAGUGACCAAUAUGUUUAUUUUAGGACUUUGAUAUAACUAAGAAUAAGCCAUAGUGUUUAACCAGUUUUACAGAACCUGUGUUAAGAAAGAAUGUAUUCACAAAAGAAGGAUGCUUAAAUGUAUAAAAGGGGAACCAAAGAGGAAGAAUUUGACCAAGUGUUUCUGGCACAGUUUUAUAGAGGGAAAGACACUGAAACUGCCAGAACACUAGUUAUUAGAGAAAAGCCUUCUACUUAAGACCAAAAAUAGUUCAUUAUCAGUCUCCACAGCACAGAUGUCAAGUUAUUUAAGGCUCUUCAAUAUCCUUUGUUUGAAAUACACUCUAAUCAGUAUCCUGAAUAUUGUUAAAGUCAUAGCAUAAGUAGUGUUGAGGUGGCAGUUGAAAGGUUGAGAACAUGCUGGAUUUGUAAGUCUCCAAAAUGGAUAUUGUCACUGAUUUAAGGUUGAUGGCUCAGAGGUGGGCCUAACUCAUGCUUUCAGUAGUCUGUUAUAUUUAAAAACAUGGAAGUUUUUUAAACAUUUACUUGACUAAAUUUCAAUUAGAAGGAGCUAUGGUAGGUUUUUGACCUCUUUUAUUGACAAUUACUAAAAUGAUAUCCACUACAAGGAAGUUAAUUCUCUAAAUUUUAUGUAUUAGUAUUAUUAAACGCUAGUUAAGUAACCACAGAGUACUUGACACACUAUUAACAAGUCAAAAUAGACAGGUUUAAAAUGCUUGUAAGGGAUGAAAAAGAUAAAACCAAAGUCACUUCAUAGAAUUUUUAAAAAAGAGCUGAACCCUGCAUUGUUAUAAUUUUUGUAAAUACCCUGAUUUUCAAAAUGAAUUUUCUGCUUCAAGAGAUAUCUAAAUUUGAAUCUAAAGCAAGAUCUAAACUAAAUAAAUUGAGGCAUUUGGAGCUCUAAUUAAAGAUACACAUAAAUUUGAAUGAUUGGAUAACACAUAAUAUGUUGCAUUUUUUGUUGUUUAAUCUUACCUACUAAUCUCACAUAUUCCAUUUUGACAUUUGACUGUAUAUUUUCCUUAUCUGUAUUUCUUGGAACCUCAGUAUUUUCCACAUACUAUUGAUAUAUAUAUGUAUAUAUAUGAGAUUGAACUGAAGAGUAGAUCAAAAGUAUUUCUCUCCUAUCAUGAAAUCUUGACUAUAAUUUUACAAAGAAUAAAAUGUAUGUCACUUGUUUUUUGUUGUUGUUGUUUUGAGGAAUUGGUGUAUACAUGUGUAUCCACGCAGUGGAAACUGAUUUUGUAUCAAUUACCUGAACU
This is an RNA transcript of Balaenoptera acutorostrata (minke whale), 5241 nucleotides long. It is a transcript of the gene named C-type lectin domain family 1 member A, with no coding region annotated. Lineage: Eukaryota; Metazoa; Chordata; Mammalia; Artiodactyla; Balaenopteridae. The record is from RefSeq and is a predicted model, not a curated record. The transcript has 7 exons.